GCCUUCGUGGUGUAAUGGUUAGCACGCUGGGCACUUACUCCAGAAGUGCGUGGUUCGAGUCCCGGCAAAGGCA
This 73-nucleotide transfer RNA is filed under the name Stegodyphus mimosarum. It matches the Rfam family "tRNA". Rfam says of the family: Transfer RNA (tRNA) molecules are approximately 80 nucleotides in length. The record is from Rfam by way of RNAcentral. Lineage: Eukaryota; Metazoa; Arthropoda; Arachnida; Araneae; Eresidae.